GACGAACGCUGGCGGCGUGCUUAACACAUGCAAGUCGAACGGAAAGGCCCUGCUUUUGUGGGGUGCUCGAGUGGCGAACGGGUGAGUAACACGUGAGUAACCUGCCCUUGACUUUGGGAUAACUUCAGGAAACUGGGGCUAAUACCGGAUAGGAGCUCCUGCUGCAUGGUGGGGGUUGGAAAGUUUCGGCGGUUGGGGAUGGACUCGCGGCUUAUCAGCUUGUUGGUGGGGUAGUGGCUUACCAAGGCUUUGACGGGUAGCCGGCCUGAGAGGGGGACCGGCCACAAUGGGACUAAGAUACGGCCCAGACGGCUACGGGAGGCAGCAGUGGGGAAUAUUGCACAGUGGGCGGGAGCCUGAUGCAGCAACGCCGCGUGCGGGAUGACGGCCUUCGGGUUGUAAACCGCUUUCGCCUGUGACGAGGCGUGAGUGACGGUAAUGGGUAAAGAAGCACCGGCUAACUACGUG
This 468-nucleotide ribosomal RNA is filed under the name uncultured bacterium. Its description in RNAcentral is "partial 16S ribosomal RNA". It matches the Rfam family "Bacterial small subunit ribosomal RNA", at positions 28 to 507 of the family's 1533-position model. The record is from RNAcentral.